UAUCACAGCCAUAUCACCGUGCAGCCCAAGACCGGUUACUGAAGCUAAGCAGGCCUCAGCCUGGUCACUACCUGAAUGGGAGACUACAUGAGAAAACUAGGUUGCUGUUGUAA
This 113-nucleotide ribosomal RNA is filed under the name Danio rerio (zebrafish). The record is from RNAcentral. Lineage: Eukaryota; Metazoa; Chordata; Actinopteri; Cypriniformes; Danionidae.